UCCAAUUCUACAACUAACAUAAGAACCAUAAUAUAUCCUACACAUCUACAGUGUACUCAGCUUUCAUCGAUCGAUUGUUUGAAAUCCUUCCAAGAUAUCGAACCAUGAUUACAUAGGAACAUACCCAUGCAGUAGAUAUUCUACUAUUUAACAUCAGAUAUUAAUCUAAAUUGGUGUAUCCUCCUACUCCUAGCUUUGAUCAUUCUUCAAAAUUAAGAACAAAUCUUUAGUUCUUCUCAAGAACUUAAGGAUAUUUUUACAGUAAUCCAGUGCUCCUAGCCUGGAUACCAUUGAUAUCUACUCGUAACAUUCACAGCAUUAACUAUAUCAGUUCAAGUAUAUUACAUGGCACACAUCUAUACCCAAGAGGAUAGCAGAUCCUUCUCUGAGAUUUUUAUGCUGAAUCCUUUCAGUAUCUAUUCUCUAUACUUUAUCUAUGAAAACAUAAGCAUCCAAUUGCAUCUAUCUCUAUAGAUCUUUAUAUUCUCAGAAUAUAGGAUGCUUGCUUUAUGUCUUUCAUGGAGAAUUCUAUAUACAACCAUAUUUUAACCAAUGUCAGUAUUGGACACUCCCACUGACCCUUUUAAAAAUACAUAAUUCCUCAUUUCUGAUCAAAUAAUUUGAUCGUAUCAUCGAAAUGAAUGUUCCAACUCUAAGAUUAUCACAGACUUUGUGAUCUCCUAUCACGAGAAGUAAAAUCCAUAAGCUACUCCAUAUAAAAAUCUUCAAAAGAUAUCCUGUCAGAAAAGUUAUUUCACAUCCCUUUCUUGGAGUCGAUGUCUAACAUCGCCUCGUUGUAGGUUUUGGGAUCAUUUCUAUAUUUUCUAUCUCCUAUGAGAAAUAUUUUUUUUCUCUACAUCUUCUGUUAAGCAUAUCCAAGUACCUUUCGAGAGGAUGGAAGAUCCUAUUAUAUCUAUGAGGUGGAGGAGGAAUAUACGUAUACUGGCUCAUCAUAAAUAGAUUCUUUAGGUCAUAUGGCUCAUCACUCUUCAGAGAUACUCUCUUUGAGCUUUACUUUUCUUUCACUACUUUAGCUUGGUUAAAUAAUUUUUCAAAAAGAUAGCAUAAUGGGUCACAAUCACAUUGUGAUCCUUUCAGAAGAAAAAUAGUAUCUCAAACUCUUUUAGGAUAAGCUUUAUAGACCUAUCCUCUAAUAUAUCCAUCUGCUGUCCUUGACACAGGUUGGAUCUUUGGAUCUUGAAAUAAUUAAGAUUUAGUACUCACCGUGUCAUAUCUCAUACGGUGUGAUAGAAACAGAUUUAGAGAAAAUUUAAUUCUAUAGAAAUAAAGUAUAUCCCUAAAGAAAUAAAAAUAAAUCAGUGAAGUCCAUCAUGGAUCAGAUCAUAUCUUAUACAGUCCCAUGACUCUUCUUAAUUAUCUCGUUGAGUUGAGAUGUACUAAGAAGGGUCCAAUAUAAAACUAUGUCAUUUUAUGAGAUAAUUGAGAAAUUUUUUUUUGAUAUUGUAUCCUCGAACUGAUCAAAGUGUCUUUAGAAAUUUUCUAUUUACUUCUUUACUUUACAUCUGAAUUCUUUGAAUCUUUCAAAAAUUUUAGAUUUAUAUAUCAUAUACUUACCCAUACCAUGACUAAUCAUCAGUAAAGGUAAUGAAGUAGAGACAACCUCCUUUGUUAGCAUAUCAAAUGAGCUAUACACAUCAAAUGUGUACUAAGAUAAGUAUCUCAGUGGUCUUUUUCCUCUUGUCCCACAAGAGUAACUUAGUUAUUUUUUUUCAAAAAUAUGAUGCACAAACUAGAUGUGACUCAAUAAUCAAUGAGCCCAAAAGUCCAUAUUUCUCCAAUCUGUUAAUCAUUUCUUCUCUUAUAUGACUUAGCCUAAGAUUUCACAUAUACUUAAGAUUUAUCUCAACUCUGGAUCUUUCAGAUCUAAUGGCAUUCACUGCUUGCUCAAUUAAGUUCAUAGAUGCAUCACCAUGUAAAUAAUAGAGACUGUCUCUAAGAACUAAAUCCAAAUGAUAAUCACAAAGGACAGAUGCCCAUGGCCACAGCAGCAACUAUUGCCCUAUUGCUAAUUAUAAGGGUUACUUUCUUAGCCCUCUACCUUUCCAUAGACUCUAUGCUAAAGUACAUAAAAUUACUAGAGUCUAAAACUCAACUGGAAGAAGAGAAAAUCAUAAG
RNAcentral lists this long non-coding RNA (2136 nucleotides) under Elaeis guineensis (African oil palm). RNAcentral describes it as "long non-coding RNA (EGUI_LNC052930)". The record is from RNAcentral. Lineage: Eukaryota; Viridiplantae; Streptophyta; Magnoliopsida; Arecales; Arecaceae.